RNAcentral lists this ribosomal RNA (474 nucleotides) under uncultured bacterium. RNAcentral describes it as "SSU rRNA". It matches the Rfam family "Bacterial small subunit ribosomal RNA", at positions 26 to 521 of the family's 1533-position model. The record is from RNAcentral.
AGGAUGAACGCUGGCGGCGUGCCUAACACAUGCAAGUCGAACGUCCUGUCUCGCAAGAGGCAGGGAGUGGCGGACGGGUGAGUACCACGUGGGUCAUCUACCGUGAGGUGAGGAAUACCGGCGAGAAAUCGCCGACAAGACCGCAUAGGCUCGAUGCAAGUCGAGCAAAGCUCUUUCGAGAGAGGGAGCGCCACACGAGGAGCCUGCGCCCGAUUAGCUAGCUGGUGGAGUAACGGUUCACCAGGGCGACGAUCGGUAGCUGGUCUGAGAGGACGAUCAGCCACACUGGGAUUGAGAACGGCCCAGACUCCUACGGGGGGCAGCAGUGAGGAAUUUUCGUCAAUGGGGGCAACCCUGAACGAGCAACGCCGCGUGCAGGAAGAAGGUUUUCGGAUCGUAAACUGCUUUUCUCGGGAAGAGAAUGGACGGUACCCGAGGAAUCAGCCCGGCUAACUACGUGCCAGCAGCCGCGGU